AGUGAACGCUGGCGGUAGGCCUAACACAUGCAAGUCGAACGGCAGCACAGUAAGAGCUUGCUCUUACGGGUGGCGAGUGGCGGACGGGUGAGGAAUACAUCGGAAUCUACUUUUUCGUGGGGGAUAACGUAGGGAAACUUACGCUAAUACCGCACACGACCUACGGGUGAAAGCAGGGGAUCUUCGGACCUUGCGCGAUUGAAUGAGCCGAUGUCGGAUUAGCUAGUUGGCGGGGUAAAGGCCCACCAAGGCGACGAUCCGUAGCUGGUCUGAGAGGAUGAUCAGCCACACUAGAGCUGAGACACGGGACAGACUCCUACGGGAGGCAGCAGUGGGAAAUAAUGGACAAUGGGCGCAAGCCUGAUCCAGCCAUACCGCGUGGGUGAAGAAGGCCUUCGGGUUGUAAAGCCCUUUUGUUGGGAAAGAAAAGCAGCAGGUUAAUACCCCGCUGUUCUGACGGUACCCAAAGAAUAAGCACCGGCUAACUUCGU
RNAcentral lists this ribosomal RNA (491 nucleotides) under uncultured bacterium. RNAcentral describes it as "partial 16S ribosomal RNA". It matches the Rfam family "Bacterial small subunit ribosomal RNA", at positions 29 to 506 of the family's 1533-position model. The record is from RNAcentral.